Molecule: transfer RNA, 72 nt
Filed under: Diaphorina citri (Asian citrus psyllid)
Lineage: Eukaryota; Metazoa; Arthropoda; Insecta; Hemiptera; Psyllidae
Rfam family: tRNA
About the family: Transfer RNA (tRNA) molecules are approximately 80 nucleotides in length. Their secondary structure includes four short double-helical elements and three loops (D, anti-codon, and T loops).
Source: Rfam by way of RNAcentral
UGCCUUGUGGUGUAGUGGUCAAGAUACUUGCCUGGUAAACAGGCGGCCUGGGUUCAAUCCCAGCCGAGGUAU